UAGAUAGUCUCAACCGAGCAGUGAUGGAAAGAUGGAUCUGGGGACGACAGAGCUCACAGGCAGAGGACAAAAUAAGCAGCCAAGUAACAGCCGUUCAGCACAACGCGUUUUAGGCAAGGAUCCCCACUCCCACACCCCCAGCACACAGUGAUGGAUCUGGGAAAGCAGGAAGGGCCCAGAGUGGCUGCAGAGACUGCAGGCUGUGCAGUGGAGGGGAGAGGGGAGACUUGCAGGGUCUGCCAAGCUGAAUGCGGGCAGGGAAGGAGGAGGCCUGGUGGCUGGCUGAGAAGCUCCACGUGCUGAACAGAGAAUACGGGCACACCAUAGGCUUACGGCCCCGGCAACAGAGAUACAGAAGCAAGCAUGGGCAGAGUGUGCUGUGCAGAAGCAAGAGGCUCAGCAGAAGCGCUAAGAACAAGUUAAACAUAACUACCCUCAAAAACCGGACCCAAGUGCCACUUCUUUCUCGGAAGCUCCUCUGACCAUGCCCAUCUGAGCAAUCUCUUGGCCACACCCCGACUGCAGGACUUCUGUCACCCAGCUUUGCACUGGUGCACAUCUUGGAACCUGUAUCUGCUACUUAGCCUGUGAGGCUCUGGAAUAAAGAGAUGCAUAAAGAAGGUCCCUAUCAUUACCAGGUUUCCUGUAGCCAUAACACCUCAGUGUGUGCUAUGCACCUUACAGUGAGAAGGGAGCUAGCUGGACGCUCUGCAGAAGAGGCUCUAUCUAAUGGGCACCGUGGAGGACGUUAAUCAGGGAAAGAAGGGAGGGAAGGAGAACAUGUGAGUGAGAGCAUGGAGAUAUUCAUUCUCUCUCUCUCUCUCUCUCUCUCUCUCUCUCUCUCUCUCUCUCUCUCCCUCUCCCUCUCCCUCCCUCUCUCUCUCUCUCUGGAGGACAGAAAGCUAGAGAAGGAAGGGCGUUUAAGACUGAAUAACAUGCAACCUGUGUGUAUCCAGGCCUUAUAUAUAAAGCAAAGCGUACGUGGGGUCCCUGGCAUUCUGCUUGAGCUUCAACUUUCCACUUUGCGAUUUAUCUCUGUAUGGAGCUCACGGUGCAUACAGUACCGUGUACCUGGGGCUUUCAAUACGGCUGUUCCGAUUUGAGAUAUGGCAAUCCUAAGACAUGCUAGAUGUAAAGGAAGCUAAAAUAUUGUAUUAGUCAUUGUAAGGGUCUAGAGCAAAGACUCAGUGGUUAAGAGCACUUGUUGCCCUUUCAGAGGACUGGGUUUGGUUCCUAGUAUUUACAUGGCCGCUUAGAACACCUCAACUCCAGUUGCAGGGGACCCAUUGCCCUCUUCUGGCCUCUCUGCAGGAACCAGGACAUGUGGUGCACAUAAGUAUGCAUACAGCCAUGUAAAUAAAGAAAUCUU
Molecule: long non-coding RNA, 1369 nt
Filed under: Mus musculus (house mouse)
Lineage: Eukaryota; Metazoa; Chordata; Mammalia; Rodentia; Muridae
Description: predicted gene 45188
Source: RNAcentral